Camelina sativa (false flax) is the source of this 129-nucleotide non-coding RNA. The record is from RefSeq and is a predicted model, not a curated record. Lineage: Eukaryota; Viridiplantae; Streptophyta; Magnoliopsida; Brassicales; Brassicaceae.
AAAGAUGCCUGAGGCAAGAGUUCAGGUUCCAACAGCACCACAAGCUAAGGAAAACUUGCCAGAUCAGCGCGGCCCAGCAACCAAGAGCAAUUCCUAUUGUAAUACUACACUGAAAACAAAACAACCGCA